UUCCUACGGGGCGCAGCAGUAGGGAAUCUUCCACAAUGGGCGAAAGCCUGAUGGAGCAACGCCGCGUGGGUGAAGAAGGUCUUCGGAUCGUAAAACCCUGUUGUUAGAGAAGAAAGUGCGUGAGAGUAACUGUUCACGUUUCGACGGUAUCUAACCAGAAAGCCACGGCUAACUACGUGCCAGCAGCCGCGGUAAUACGUAGGUGGCAAGCGUUAUCCGGAUUUACUGGGUGUAAAGGGAGCGCAGGCGGCGCGUUAAGCCUGGUGUGAAAGCCCGCGGCCCAACCGCGGGACUGCAAUGGGAAG
RNAcentral lists this ribosomal RNA (305 nucleotides) under uncultured bacterium. RNAcentral describes it as "bacterial SSU rRNA". It matches the Rfam family "Bacterial small subunit ribosomal RNA", at positions 336 to 633 of the family's 1533-position model. The record is from RNAcentral.